ACCGAAGUCGAAAAAUCCUUGGAUGUCGUCGCUGAAUUUUUCCAGGUUGAAAUACGCCACCAAUAUUGCGAAGUCACAACCACCCCCCUGUUAUAAUAAACGAAUCCUCUUCCGAACACAAAGCAUUAUAUUACGUUGUAGGCCUACAUUACGCAUUCAGUUGUGAUGGUCUUUGUUUUAUCAAAGGAUUCGAAGAAAGAAAAGUAACUGCUAGCAGCUGGUCAGGCGUUUCAAAAUAAAAUACAGACAUCGACGACAAGAUGAAGCAUCAAACGAUCUCCUUUUAUGUAGCAGUGACCCUGAUUGUACUACUUCUUAUGAUUGCCGUUGACGCCAGAAAA
Molecule: long non-coding RNA, 341 nt
Organism: Anneissia japonica
Lineage: Eukaryota; Metazoa; Echinodermata; Crinoidea; Comatulida; Comatulidae
Exons: 3
Source: RefSeq, a predicted model, not a curated record